GGGACACCCUGUAUGUAUUUUGGUAAUUAGUAAUAAUCUAUUCAUUUUAGCGUUAUUUUUAGAUAAAGUAAUCGUUAAACUUUGGUAAAAAGUCGACGUACAUUAGCCUCAAAUAUUAUUUACUAAUACAGUAUGUAUUUGACGUACAGUUUUUUACUAUGUGCGGACAUUAACUGAAAUGCUUUACGGAACUGCAUAUCUUAACCUAUAUACAGUGCAGUCCUCGACGAGCCGGUGCGAACACGCUCGAUCGUAGAGCGCCUAUAUCUAAUUUGUAAAGUGCUACAGUGAGAAUAUCUUGAUCCUAGGAAUCGUAGCUGUGUGUGUAUACAUUUAGAAGAUAAUGGAUUAUGUCACCUUGACACGAAGUAAUCAGAACGUCCGCGGCUCUGAAACAAUUUCUCGAGGACCUCUGUUCUACCGUCGACGAUCAUCGAUAUAGGAUUAAAAGAAAUCCAGAAGCAUCCCGCUUCCUUUCCUAGACCCAUCGGGAUAUUGCUUUUCGUUCGAGCAGAUUACCAAAGAUCGAGAUAGCGCUCGCGAAAGCGGGCGCGGAUUGCGGAUGCUGCAAAGAAUCAAGAAAAUCCCCGGGUGAAAGCCGUCUAUUUGACGACAUUCCACUGCGAGCGGUUCGCGCACAUGUCGGAGGAACCUGUCCGAAUGGAAUUAUCGAUAGCACGUUUCUCCCGUGGUCUUUAUGGCGGCCAUAUUAAUUCAUCGGCCGAACAGGCGAACAAUGGCCGCGACACACCGGGGAAAAAAUGGUCGGACCCGCGUGUGAAUGGCUUUCGUGAUUUCAGGUUGAUUAACAGUUUUUCAUGUACAGUUACCGAGCCGGCUGUAAUUUCAGCGGAAGAAACGGAGGAAGCGGUUAAUUACGAAUACGCUCUCGCGCGCCGAUAUCACAGGAGCCUACCCGCUUUAUUGCGAUACGUUUAAUUUAAUUAAUAGCCCGCGAAGGGUUCGCGUCGAGCAUCUUUAAGCUCGAAUACGACACGACGGUCGAAUGACAGGUCGCGGCGCGCGUAAGUCCCAACUGAAGCGCUAGCUGUUCGCUUGAUAAAAAAAAAUCGUUUGCUCGUGUUCAUCGCUUUAGGGAAAACUGUUGAAUUAACGAGAUAUGUUAAUAAUUGCGAUUAGAAACAGCAUUAAAAGAUCAACGUUUUAUAAAUUGUAUUUCAUGUUGAUGCCCUGAAUAAUCUAUUUCAUAUUAUCUUCAAGAUUUUUUUCUUAAUUAAAUAGUAUUUGUCUAUACUGCGAACACACCGUGGACCGAGCUGCAUUAUUUAUCAUUGUUAAAUUGACGAGAUUUGUUAAUAAUUGCGAUUAGAAACAGCAUUAAAAGAUCAACGUUUUAUAAAUUAUAUUUCAUGUUGAUGCUCCUGAAUAAUCUAUUUCAUAUUAUCUUCCAGAUUUUUAUCUUAAUUAAAUAGUAUUUGCCUAAACUGCGAACGCGCCGUAGACUGAGAUGCGUUGUUUAUAAUUUAUCGAAAAAAAAGUAUGUUCGACAAAGUACAGAGAACCGUACAAGUUUUCCAUAAUUGACGAAGAAUAUCUUCCGAGUUCCGCUUAGUUCAGCGUUAUUAAAAGGUAGAAUAUUUUCAUUACACUUUCCCCUAUAUAAUCGUGCAAAGAUCGCUUCCCGUAACGUCCCCGAAAGGUAAUUAUGCAGGAAUGCAAAAGGAAAUUCUCGAUUUAUCCUCUUCCGGGACGUAGUACAACGAAGUCCUAUAAUUAAAUCGUUCAUGUAUUUAUUUAUCUACUCGUAGCAGCACUGCCCUAGCGUUCGUUGCCCAUUAAUCCUCGGCCUGCGUUCACCGGGUCGUUUGUGACCCGAUGUAUUUAAACGGUUCCCCUAAUUACUCAAUUUUUGGCAAUUAAAUGAAAUAAAUAGCUGUCGACGGAAAGACUAACGUGAGACUGCGUGAAAUAUCUUGAAAAAUAUGUUCGGAAAAAUUGUAAGCACAGAAUUGUUAUAAAUAUUGCCUAUCGUACAGCUGUAAAACUGCUCCGUCGUUCGACGGUUAAACAGCA
This is a long non-coding RNA of Megalopta genalis, 2034 nucleotides long. RefSeq lists it as uncharacterized. NCBI's taxonomy places the organism in Eukaryota, Metazoa, Arthropoda, Insecta, Hymenoptera, Halictidae. The record is from RefSeq and is a predicted model, not a curated record.